GGAGGAAUGGCAGAGCGGACGAAUGCGGCGGUCUUGAAAACCGUUGUACUGAAAGGUACCGUGGGUUCGAAUCCUACUUCCUCCGCCA
RNAcentral lists this transfer RNA (88 nucleotides) under Candidatus Omnitrophota bacterium. Its description in RNAcentral is "Candidatus Omnitrophica bacterium tRNA-Ser". It matches the Rfam family "tRNA". From Rfam's summary of the family: Transfer RNA (tRNA) molecules are approximately 80 nucleotides in length. Their secondary structure includes four short double-helical elements and three loops (D, anti-codon, and T loops). The record is from RNAcentral. RNAcentral also lists the same sequence under 1 other name. Lineage: Bacteria; Pseudomonadati; Candidatus Omnitrophota.